GUGAGUAUAGCUCAGGGAUAGAGCGUAUGCUUAGCAUGCACGAGGUCCUGGGUUCGAUCCCCGGUGCCUCCA
Molecule: transfer RNA, 72 nt
Filed under: Camelus bactrianus (Bactrian camel)
Lineage: Eukaryota; Metazoa; Chordata; Mammalia; Artiodactyla; Camelidae
Also listed under: 2 other names
Rfam family: tRNA
About the family: Transfer RNA (tRNA) molecules are approximately 80 nucleotides in length. Their secondary structure includes four short double-helical elements and three loops (D, anti-codon, and T loops).
Source: Rfam by way of RNAcentral